Molecule: ribosomal RNA, 162 nt
Filed under: Palicourea guianensis
Lineage: Eukaryota; Viridiplantae; Streptophyta; Magnoliopsida; Gentianales; Rubiaceae
Also listed under: 18 other names
Description: 5.8S ribosomal RNA
Rfam family: 5.8S ribosomal RNA
About the family: 5.8S ribosomal RNA (5.8S rRNA) is a component of the large subunit of the eukaryotic ribosome. It is transcribed by RNA polymerase I as part of the 45S precursor that also contains 18S and 28S rRNA. Functionally, it is thought that 5.8S rRNA may be involved in ribosome translocation.
Source: RNAcentral
AAUGACUCUCGGCAACGGAUAUCUCGGCUCUCGCAUCGAUGAAGAACGUAGCGAAAUACGAUACUUGGUGUGAAUUGCAGAAUCCCGUGAACCAUCGAGUUUUUGAACGCAAGUUGCGCCCAAAGCCAUUAGGCUAAGGGCACGUCUGCCUGGGCGUCACGC